CUGCCUCCAGGGCAAGAUUCAUGACAAUAAAGUCUUCCCCGUGGCUCAGUUUGUAGAGCAUGGUGUGUGCAACGCCAGGGUUGUGGGUUCGAUUCCCACGGGGGCCAGUACAAUUAUUAUUUUUUUUAAAUGUAUGAAAUUUAUACAUUCACGACUGUAAGUCGCUCUGGAUAAGAGCGUCUGCUAAAUGACUAAAAUGUAAAUGUAAAAUGUAAUUCAUGACAAUAAAUGCCAACCUGCCUCCCAGUCGUCCCCUCCUUAUCUUUACAAGGCUGCAGAACAUGCAAGCUAGUGAUGUGGGGGUUCUCUCAUAACCCUCAGUCCCCAGGUGGGUAGAUGGCAGGUUGAAUAAAGAGAAGCUAGUGAUGUGGGGGUUCUUUCAUAACCCUCAGUCCCCAGGUGGGUAGAUGGCAGGUUGAAUAAAGAGAAGCUAGUGAUGUGGGGGUUCUCUCAUAACCCUCAGUCCCCAGGUGGGUAGAUGGCACGUUGAAUAAAGAGAAGCUUGUGAUGUGGGGGUUCUCUCAUAACCCUCAGUCCCCAGGUGGGUAGAUGGCAGGUUGAAUAAAUAGAAGCUUG
This 576-nucleotide long non-coding RNA is filed under the name Salmo salar (Atlantic salmon). Its description in RNAcentral is "lncRNA (ENSSSAG00000117053.1)". The stretch from base 144 to 197 matches the Rfam family "UnaL2 LINE 3' element". Lineage: Eukaryota; Metazoa; Chordata; Actinopteri; Salmoniformes; Salmonidae. The record is from RNAcentral.